Podarcis lilfordi (Lilford's wall lizard) is the source of this 79-nucleotide non-coding RNA. The record is from the annotation of a GenBank genome assembly. NCBI's taxonomy places the organism in Eukaryota, Metazoa, Chordata, Lepidosauria, Squamata, Lacertidae.
GUCUAAUGUAGGAUAGCUCAGUCAGUAGAGCAUGAGACUCUUAAUCUCAGAGUCGUGGGUUUGAGUCCCAUGUUGGGCA